RNAcentral lists this microRNA precursor (125 nucleotides) under Prunus dulcis (almond). Its description in RNAcentral is "sRNA ncRNA". The record is from RNAcentral. Lineage: Eukaryota; Viridiplantae; Streptophyta; Magnoliopsida; Rosales; Rosaceae.
AAGGAUGGGAGGGAAGGAUGGGAGGGAGGAGUAACAAAAGUGAAAACAAUUUCAAAUAGAUUUCAGUUUUUAGUUUUUGUUUUUACUUUUGUUACUCCUCCCUCCCAUCCUCCCCUCUCAUCUUC